Molecule: ribosomal RNA, 366 nt
Filed under: uncultured bacterium
Lineage: Bacteria
Description: bacterial SSU rRNA
Rfam family: Bacterial small subunit ribosomal RNA
Source: RNAcentral
UAAUACGUAGGUGGCAAGCGUUGUCCGGAAUUACUGGGCGUAAAGGGCGUGUAGGCGGGGCGGCAAGUCAGGUGUGAAAUCCCGGGGCUUAACUCCGGAGCUGCAUCUGAAACUGCUGUUCUUGAGUGCUGGAGAGGAAAGUGGAAUUCCCAGUGUAGCGGUGAAAUGCGUAGAGAUUGGGAGGAACACCAGUGGCGAAGGCGGCUUUCUGGACAGUAACUGACGCUGAGGCGCGAAAGCGUGGGGAGCAAACAGGAUUAGAUACCCUGGUAGUCCACGCCGUAAACAGAUGGAUACMAVGGUGUAGGAGGUAUCGACCCCUUCUGUGCCGGAGUUVVCACAAUAAGUAUCCCGCCUGGGGAGUAC